UCCCUGGUGGCCCAGUGGCUAGGAUGCCUCACUGCCAAUGCAGGGGGCCUGGGUUCAAUCCCCAGCCAGGGAA
Odocoileus virginianus texanus is the source of this 73-nucleotide non-coding RNA. Lineage: Eukaryota; Metazoa; Chordata; Mammalia; Artiodactyla; Cervidae. The record is from the annotation of a RefSeq genome assembly.